AUUGAACGCUGGCGGCAGGCUUAACACAUGCAAGUCGAGCGGGGGAAGGUAGCUUGCUACCGGACCUAGCGGCGGACGGGUGAGUAAUGCUUAGGAAUCUGCCUAUUAGUGGGGGACAACAUCUCGAAAGGGAUGCUAAUACCGCAUACGUCCUACGGGAGAAUGCAGGGGAUCUUCGGACCUUGCGCUAAUAGAUGAGCCUAAGUCGGAUUAGCUAGUUGGUGGGGUAAAGGCCUACCAAGGCGACGAUCUGUAGCGGGUCUGAGAGGAUGAUCCGCCACACUGGGACUGAGACACGGCCCAGACUCCUACGGGAGGCAGCAGUGGGGAAUAUGGGACAAUGGGGGGAACCCUGAUCCAGCCAUGCCGCGUGUGUGAAGAAGGCCUUAUGGUUGUAAAGCACUUUAAGCGAGGAGGAGGCUACUCUAGUUAAUACCUAGGGAUAGUGGACGUUACUCGCAGAAUAAGCACCGGCUAACUCUGUGCCAGCAGCCGCCGUAA
This 501-nucleotide ribosomal RNA is filed under the name uncultured bacterium. RNAcentral's name for it is "partial 16S ribosomal RNA". It matches the Rfam family "Bacterial small subunit ribosomal RNA", at positions 30 to 523 of the family's 1533-position model. The record is from RNAcentral.